This 424-nucleotide ribosomal RNA is filed under the name uncultured bacterium. RNAcentral describes it as "bacterial SSU rRNA". It matches the Rfam family "Bacterial small subunit ribosomal RNA", at positions 359 to 775 of the family's 1533-position model. The record is from RNAcentral.
GAAUCUUCCACAAUGGGCGAAAGCCUGAUGGAGCAACGCCGCGUGGGUGAAGAAGGUCUUCGGAUCGUAAAACCCUGUUGUUAGAGAAGAAAGUGCGUGAGAGUAACUGUUCACGUUUCGACGGUAUCUAACCAGAAAGCCACGGCUAACUACGUGCCAGCAGCCGCGGUAAUACGUAGGUGGCGAGCGUUAUCCGGAAUCAUUGGGCGUAAAGAGGGAGCAGGCGGCCUGGAGGGUCUAUUGUUAAAAGGCAGUGGCUUAACCAUUGCAAGGCGAAGAAACCGGCAGGCUAGAGUUCUAAAGAGGAUCGUGGAAUUCCAUGUGUAGCGGUGAAAUGCGUAGAUAUAUGGAAGAACACCAGUGGCGAAAGCGGCUCUCUGGUCUGUAACUGACGCUGAGGUUCGAAAGCGUGGGUAGCAAACAG